UACGUAGGGGGCAAGCGUUGUCCGGAUUUAUUGGGCGUAAAGAGCUUGUAGGCGGUCUGUCGCGUCUGCUGUGAAAAUCCGGGGCUCAACCCCGGACUUGCAGUGGGUACGGGCAGACUAGAGUGUGGUAGGGGAGACUGGAAUUCCUGGUGUAGCGGUGAAAUGCGCAGAUAUCAGGAGGAAUACCGGUGGCGAAAGCGACUCUCUGGACGGCAACUGACGCUGAGGCACGAAAGCGUGGGGAGCAAACAGG
This 253-nucleotide ribosomal RNA is filed under the name uncultured bacterium. RNAcentral describes it as "partial 16S ribosomal RNA". It matches the Rfam family "Bacterial small subunit ribosomal RNA", at positions 524 to 776 of the family's 1533-position model. The record is from RNAcentral.